CCCCAGCGCCACAAGUGGGAACCACGUUUAUUGGGUCUAAAGCAUCCGUAGCCUGUCAGACAAAUACCCUGUGAAAUCGUUAUGCUCAACAUAACGGCGUGCAGGGUACACUACCUGACUAGGGACCAGGCGAAGUAGACGGUAUUCCAGAGGGAGCGGUAAAAUGUGAUAAUCUCUGGAGGACCACCGAUGGCGAAGGCAGUCUACCAGAAUGGAUCCGACGGUGAGGGAUGAAAGCUAGGGGAGCGAUCCGGAUUAGAUACCCCAGUA
This 270-nucleotide ribosomal RNA is filed under the name uncultured prokaryote. RNAcentral describes it as "partial 16S ribosomal RNA". It matches the Rfam family "Archaeal small subunit ribosomal RNA", at positions 474 to 743 of the family's 1478-position model. The record is from RNAcentral.